Molecule: long non-coding RNA, 431 nt
Organism: Pipra filicauda (Wire-tailed manakin)
Lineage: Eukaryota; Metazoa; Chordata; Aves; Passeriformes; Pipridae
Exons: 3
Source: RefSeq, a predicted model, not a curated record
UCACCCAUUGUGAAACUCCCCAUCCUGGGGGAGGUACUGAGCAUUCCCACCUUAACUUGAGCAUAUAUAAACUUCAGGUUUUGGGACUUCUGGUGCCACUUGUCAGACUGAGAGGAAGACCAGAACUUCAACAGGACUGCAACCAUUAUUUCAACAGGACUGCGAACAGCAUCCAGACCAACAGUUCCCAGCAUUUCCACUGCGAGUCACGGGUCCUGUGCCAGAAAGUGAUCCAAGACUGAACUCCUAAGGAGCUCAUCCAAGAACUAGCUGUUUUCUGAGCCUACAGUCCAGGGGCAGGCAGAACAACUUGCGGAGCAGCAAAAGAAAAAAAGAAGAGAGAAAAAAGGAAAAUUUUAGACAAGCUUUCAAGGGAGAAUGUGCUUAUUAUAAUAAAUCACCUACUGCCAUCCAAAAAAAGGCCUUUUAAU